This 250-nucleotide ribosomal RNA is filed under the name uncultured bacterium. RNAcentral describes it as "partial 16S ribosomal RNA". It matches the Rfam family "Bacterial small subunit ribosomal RNA", at positions 812 to 1058 of the family's 1533-position model. The record is from RNAcentral.
GAUGCUAGCCGUUGGCAGGCUUGCCUGUCAGUGGCGCAGCUAACGCAUUAAGCAUCCCGCCUGGGGAGUACGGUCGCAAGAUUAAAACUCAAAGGAAUUGACGGGGGCCCGCACAAGCGGUGGAGCAUGUGGUUCAAUUCGAAGCAACGCGCAGAACCUUACCAACCUUUGACAUGUCCCGUAUGGGUACCAGAGAUGGAACCCUUCAGUUCGGCUGGCGGGAACACAGGUGCUGCAUGGCUGUCGUCAG